Molecule: ribosomal RNA, 497 nt
Filed under: uncultured bacterium
Lineage: Bacteria
Description: partial 16S ribosomal RNA
Rfam family: Bacterial small subunit ribosomal RNA
Source: RNAcentral
GAUGAACGCUGGCGGCGUGCCUAACACAUGCAAGUCGAACGGACAGACGAGGAGCUUUGCCUGGUGGCUUUAGCGGCGAAGGGGGGGGAAAAACGUGGUUAACCUCCCCUUAAGACUGGGAUAACGUCGGGAAACCGGACCUAAUACCGGAGUAUAUACUGAACCGCAUGGUGCGGUAGGGAAAGACGGAUUUGCUUUGAGUUUUGGAUGGGGACGCGCCGCAUUAGCUAGUGGGUGAGGUAACGGCUUACGAAGGCGACGAUGCGUAGGCGACCUGAGAGGAUGAUCGGCCACACUGGAACUGAGACACGGUCCAGACGCCUCCGGGAGGCAGCAGUAGGGAAUCGUCCUCAACGGGCGAAAGCCUGAUGGAGCAACGCCGCGGGGGUGAUGAAGGACUUCGGCUCGUAAAGCACUGUUAUCGGGGAUGAAGAAAGUUGUGAUCAUUGUGGUGCGUUUUGACGUUACCGGAUUAGGAAGCCCCGGCUAACUACGUG